This is an RNA transcript of Lemur catta (Ring-tailed lemur), 2680 nucleotides long. RefSeq lists it as uncharacterized. The transcript has 2 exons. NCBI's taxonomy places the organism in Eukaryota, Metazoa, Chordata, Mammalia, Primates, Lemuridae. The record is from RefSeq and is a predicted model, not a curated record.
CUUAAGUCAGUUUUUUUUAAUGCUGUCAAAAUUUGUAGAAUUGUCUUGUCUUUGAUUAUGGCAUCAUCUCUUUCUAAAAUAUACUUUACAGUUGCUUUUGUGUUCUGUAGACUAUAGGGUCAAAAUCAAGAGUAUUUUGGAAGUUCAAAAGCAUUUAAAAUCUAUUAGGUCAUUAAGUAUGAAAUGUCUGAUUUCAAAUCAAAAGUUUAUUAUAUCUCAAACAAGAAGCAGUACAAUUAAUCAAAGUAUGCGCCUAAGCUAUCGACACAGGUUUGCUAUCUUAAAUGGUAGCUUGCUUAUGCCAGCAGAGAAGAAGCCUAGAGAGCAAGUGACGAUGAAAUUUUUUUUCCCCGAUAUCUUUCACAGAUCUAAUUUAGAUUCUCUUUGCCUUCUCCUUCAUGGAAUAAAGUACUGUGGCAUCCAAUUACCAAUACAUGCAGUAUAAACUUUUUUGCAUAGGUGGAAUUCAUUUAGAUCUCAAGUACUGUCGUUUUAGGGCUAUUUGAACUAUUUGUGUUUUUCGGUAUAAAAUAUUAUUUGGUAAUGUGCAGUUAAAUUCCUUUCAGAAAUGAUUGAAAAUAGUAAAUGAAUUCAUUGGAAUCCUAAGAGUUCUUAGGUUCUCUGAUAAUUUAGUGUCUUUUGUUAGUGAUGUCCAAUACUUAUAAAACUGCUGGGAAAACAUGAAGAAUGGAUGUUACUCUUCUCAGGUAACAGUUUAAAAUAAACUAAAUUUUAAAAUCAAAGGCCUAUUGGACAAAAUAAAUUACAAAAUAGAGAUAAUGGAAUGUAAGAGACAAAUUGCAGGACUCUGGUAAGCUUAGUUUAUUUUGAAGAUCUAUCUAAAUUUUAUUUCGUGUCUCUUAAUCCUAGUGUUUCUCGUGUUAGAAAUUAGAGUUUAAUAAAUUGUGAUGCAUUUUUUACAUGAAAGAUUCUAGUUCCUAAUUUCACUUUUCUGAUCUCAAGAAAAUUAAACAUGAAAAACAGGGUAAAAUUCUUCAACUAUUGCCUCAGGUUCAGCUUUGUCCUAUCAUCCUGAGAAAGGAGAUUUAGACUUGUCUACCUAAAACAUAUUUUUUAGGGCAUGGUACUAUCCCAGAGAAGGUGUUGAGAUACCAUGUCAGAAAUAUAAAACCUAAGCUUGGAACCACAUUUAGAUUUAAAGAACAAAAAGACGUAUUAUUAUUUUACAAUAAGUCUCUCUAUCUGAUAUUCUAAGGAUUUCUUCAAACCACUUAAUAACUUGUCACCAUUAACUUUAAUAACCACUUUAGUCCACACUGUCACAUCCUGCUUUGAGAGGCAAGGAUGCCUCAUAAAUUAGAGGAUGCACAAAGCAGAAUUCUGUGGAAGGUGAUCCUGGCUCCUUUGGCUCUCAUAAUUAUUUUACAGCUUUAAUGGAAAGUCAGGAAACUGAAAUGCUCUCUUAAAUUCCCAAAUCAGUGACCUGUCCAAAUGGGCAUUGUAGCUGAAGUUCCCUACAAAACAGUUCUCGCUAAUGCAAUGUGUUUUAAGACUAAGAUUAGUAUUUAAUCUUUGAAGAUCUGUCUUGUAUGUCUCUCAACUUUGUUAAGAGUUUUUGUUGUUCUUUUUCACAUACAACUUGUAUGAAAUAACCAUUUUUUUCCCACAAUAUGUAGGGUAUCUUAGCUUUACAGAUGUUUAAAGUUGAGGUUUUUAAAAUCCUCCAAUGGUUUUUGUUAAAAGACUGUCUUCCUUAAUAACAUGACAACUUGUUACAGAUCCACACAUUACAAGUAGGACAAUAUAAUAAAAGAUUGAUGUAUAAUUGCUAUACAGUAGUCAGCAAAAGGGAUAAUUUUUGCUUGUGGAACUUCAGAGGUACUCUGAAAGUAAUUUCCUAAAGCUAGUGCAUGUGAAUAUUUUUCCUUGAACUGUGCAGAAUAAUUGGAUUGAGGCACAUAUUUUGGGGAGUAGCAAGUGGAAUGGUGUAAUGACUGCAGGAAAAAUAAUCUUGAAAUAUAGCCAGAAAGUGAAACAAGUUUUCUUCCUCCACUUUACUGUUGGACUAAUUGGAUAAAGAAUUUGCUAUGACAUAUCAUAGAUCUCUUUGUGCCAGGCCAAGAUUGGCCAACUGAGCUCUCAAAGAGUUUAAAUAUAUAUAGAUUGUAUAUGAGUGCUUAUUUUUUCCUCCUUUCAUUUUCUAUCUUAAUACCCUUUUGACUUCUGAAACAAUUUAUUUGUUUUGCUUUAUGACCAGCUUUAAUUUCAAUUAAAGAAUAAUAGCAACUCUAGAGAUUAAUAGGAAAGAGCAUUGAAAUACAUUUUUUUAAUAAAGACACCUAAAACCAUCUACCCAGCUUAGUCUUGAACUGAAUUUCUGUGAAAUAAAUUUAUUGUUUCAAAUGCUAAUUAUGGUAAAACUACUUAAUUCUUUAAAAACUGUGUCUUAAGUUUCAAAAGUUACACCUUGGGAGGAUAUUCCUAAAAAGGCAUUUUGAACAUAGAUGAGAAAGUAUAAAAUAUUUCUCACAGAAUUAUUCAGUAUUAUUCAACAUUUAAUUUCAUGUUUGUUAUUGUACCACAAGGAUAGUGUCAUUGUUGGAUUAAAAUGUUGGAUGUUUUUGUUACUAUACUUAAAACUGUAACCAGUGAAUAACACCUGUAGUAUUUUUUAUUAUAGAUUAUAUUUUAUUUCAAUAAACUUUGAUAUUAGACCAAA